AACAGGAUUAGAUACCCUGGUAGUCCACGCCGUAAACGAUGUCGACUUGGAGGUUGUGCCCUUGAGGCGUGGCUUCCGGAGCUAACGCGUUAAGUCGACCGCCUGGGGAGUACGGCCGCAAGGUUAAAACUCAAAUGAAUUGACGGGGGCCCGCACAAGCGGUGGAGCAUGUGGUUUAAUUCGAUGCAACGCGAAGAACCUUACCUGGUCUUGACAUCCACAGAACUUUCCAGAGAUGGAUUGGUGCCUUCGGGAACUGUGAGACAGGUGCUGCAUGGCUGUCGUCAGCUCGUGUUGUGAAAUGUUGGGUUAAGUCCCGCAACGAGCGCAACCCUUAUCCUUUGUUGCCAGCGGUCCGGCCGGGAACUCAAAGGAGACUGCCAGUGAUAAACUGGAGGGAGGUGGGGAUGACGUCAAGUCAUCAUGGCCCUUACGACCAGGGCUACACACGUGCUACAAUGGCGCAUACAAAGAGAAGCGACCUCGCGAGAGCAAGCGGACCUCAUAAAGUGCGUCGUAGUCCGGAUUGGAGUCUGCAACUCGACUCCAUGAAGUCGGAAUCGCUAGUAAUCGUGGAUCAGAAUGCCACGGUGAAUACGUUCCCGGGCCUUGUACACACCGCCCGUCACACCAUGGGAGUGGGUUGCAAAAGAAGUAGGUAGCUUAACCUUCGGGAGGGCGCUUACCACUUUGUGAUUCAUGACUGGGGUGAAGUCGUAACAAGGUAACC
RNAcentral lists this ribosomal RNA (730 nucleotides) under uncultured bacterium. Its description in RNAcentral is "bacterial SSU rRNA". It matches the Rfam family "Bacterial small subunit ribosomal RNA", at positions 771 to 1501 of the family's 1533-position model. The record is from RNAcentral.